RNAcentral lists this transfer RNA (99 nucleotides) under halophilic archaeon J07HB67. Its description in RNAcentral is "tRNA-Met". It matches the Rfam family "tRNA". Rfam says of the family: Transfer RNA (tRNA) molecules are approximately 80 nucleotides in length. Lineage: Archaea; Methanobacteriati; Methanobacteriota; Halobacteria; Halobacteriales. The record is from RNAcentral.
AGUCCCGUGGUGUAGUGGCCAAUCAUGAGGGCCUUUGGACGCGCACGCCCUCCGCGCGGGAGACAGCCCUCGACGGCGGUUCGAAUCCGCCCGGGACUA